RNAcentral lists this unclassified non-coding RNA (240 nucleotides) under soil metagenome. Its description in RNAcentral is "partial contains 5.8S ribosomal RNA, internal transcribed spacer 2, and large subunit ribosomal RNA". The record is from RNAcentral.
AACCAUUCUCACCUGCGGCUAGACCUGCGGAAGGAUCAUCAUCGAAUUCAUAUCCCUCCACGGGACCCAUGAUAAACCCUUCUGUGCAUCGUAAACCGUUCACUUUGGCUGGUUUUGGUGGUGAGCGUGAGCUCGUUUCCAACCUCGCGUUCUCUCCCCCUAAGGGGGGUGUUACGCGUGGCGGCCUGCCGAAGUCCUCCCAUUAAAAACACGUUUUCGAACACGUCUGAAAUUUCCUUU